AACCCUUUCGCCCCGACUGCCCGAUUUAUCGGGCAGCAUAAACCGUGUCCCAGGACCCGGCUGCCCGAAAAAUCGGGCGGCUAUUGUCCAAGCCCCACACACGGCUGCCCGAUAAAUCGGGCGGCGCGACCGUGUUUACAAAAUCGCUCUUUCAACUUCCUUUCUCGUGUGUAAUCUCGUUCUAAAUAUGGAAACGAGAUUUACACGUGAUUGACACGUCAUUCGAUGGAAUUUCCCAGUCUUUUUGGCGCGAAAAUCGCGAAUGUCACCUGUUUUCGCGACAGGUAUUUUUCUCGCUUGAAUCGUAAAUCUAGCGUAAUGGCGGCCAACUACGAUUCGGAUAGCGAUCAGAUGACUAACAACGACUCUAUCGGGAAUAAUAAUGUGUUUGAUUUGAAUAAUUUACGUGAAGGGGAGAGGGAAUUUCGUGAAGAUUUUGGUGAAGAUUUUGACGGUUUCGACGAGGUGUCCCCCCCCCCCCCCCCCCCCCCCCGCCAACUUUCAAGAAUGGGAGUGGCAGAGGGACCACAACGGUGGAGACAUGAGGGAUUUUGAAGAGGCGACCGGACUCAAGAAUAUAUAUUGACACGGUGAGUGAAAUAUCGUGCUAUUGAUUUUUUCCAACUGUUUUACAAUAAUUCUGUGUUUGAACAGAUUAUCAGUGCGACGAAUGAGAAUGCAGCCUACAGGUGAACGAGCGAUCACAACAACAACAAAGAUCAAUCUGUGAUAUCUUCUCUGUGAUGUCAUUCUUAUAGUAGCUGUGGUUCAAUGUUCAGAUGUGCAUGAAGAGAAUUUACCUGUAACACCUGGGAUUACCUGUGCCGUCC
RNAcentral lists this long non-coding RNA (830 nucleotides) under Haliotis rufescens (red abalone). Its description in RNAcentral is "uncharacterized LOC125383331". The record is from RNAcentral. Lineage: Eukaryota; Metazoa; Mollusca; Gastropoda; Lepetellida; Haliotidae.